CCUACGGGUGGCAGCAGUAGGGAAUCUUGCGCAAUGGGCGAAAGCCUGACGCAGCCAUGCCGCGUGAAUGAUGAAGGUCUUAGGAUUGUAAAAUUCUUUCAGCGGGGACGCGGUACCCGCAGAAGAAGCCCCGGCUAACUUCGUGCCAGCAGCCGCGGUAAUACGAAGGGGGCUAGCGUUGCUCGGAAUUACUGGGCGUAAAGGGCGCGUAGGCGGAUGUUUAAGUCAGAGGUGAAAGCCCAGGGCUCAACCUUGGAACUGCCUUUGAUACUGGACAUCUUGAGUAUGGGAGAGGUGAGUGGAACUCCGAGUGUAGAGGUGAAAUUCGUAGAUAUUCGGAAGAACACCAGUGGCGAAGGCGACUCACUGGCCAUACUGACGCUGAGGCGCGAAAGCGUGGGGAGCAAACAGGAUUAGAUACCCUUGUAGUC
This 431-nucleotide ribosomal RNA is filed under the name uncultured bacterium. RNAcentral's name for it is "partial 16S ribosomal RNA". It matches the Rfam family "Bacterial small subunit ribosomal RNA", at positions 338 to 795 of the family's 1533-position model. The record is from RNAcentral.